Molecule: ribosomal RNA, 1392 nt
Filed under: uncultured bacterium
Lineage: Bacteria
Description: 16S ribosomal RNA
Rfam family: Bacterial small subunit ribosomal RNA
Source: RNAcentral
AGUUUGAUCCUGGCUCAGGAUGAACGCUGGCGGCGUGCUUAACACAUGCAAGUCAAACCAAGCACCUUGGACAUAUUCUUCGGAUGAAGUCCUUAGUGACUGAAUGGGAGACGGGUGAUUAACGCGUGGGUAACCUGCCUCAUACUGGGGGAUAACAGUUAGAAAUGGCUGCUAAUACCUCAUAACCGCACAGUACCGCAUGGUACGGUGUGAAAAACUCCGGUGGUAUGAGAUGGACCCGCGUUGGAUUAGCUAGUUGGCAGGGUAACGGCCUACCAAGGCGACGAUCCAUAGCCGGCCUGAGAGGGUGGACGGCCACAUUGGGACUGAGACACGGCCCAGACUCCUACGGGAGGCAGCAGUGGGGAAUAUUGCACAAUGGGGGAAACCCUGAUGCAGCGACGCCGCGUGAGCGAAGAAGUAUUUCGGUAUGUAAAGUUCUAUCAGCAGGGAAGAAAAUGACGGUACCUGACUAAGAAGCCCCGGCUAACUACGUGCCAGCAGCCGCGGUAAUACGUAGGGGGCAAGCGUUAUCCGGAUUUACUGGGUGUAAAGGGAGCGCAGACGGAAUGGCAAGUUUGAUGUGAAAGGCCGGGGCUCAACCCCGGGAUUGCAUUGGAAACUGUCAAUCUAGAGUGCCGGAGGGGUAAGUGGAAUUCCUAGUGUAGCGGUGAAAUGCGUAGAUAUUAGGAGGAACACCAGUGGCGAAGGCGGCUUACUGGACGGUAACUGACGUUGAGGCUCGAAAGCGUGGGGAGCAAACAGGAUUAGAUACCCUGGUAGUCCACGCCGUAAACGAUGAAUAGUAGGCGUUGGGGAGCAAAGCUUUUCGCGUGCCGCAGCAAACGCAACAAGUAUUCCACAUGGGGAGUACGCUCGCAAGAAUGAAACUCAAAGGAACAGACGGGGACCCGCACAAGCGGUGGAGCAUGCGGUCUAAUUCGAAGCAACGGGAAGAACCUUACCAUAUCUAGACAUUGAUCUGACCGGAGGGGAAGGAGUCCUUUCCUUUCGGGCACAGAGAAGACAGGUGGUGCAUGGCCGUCGUCAGGUGUUGUGGCGAGAUGUCGGUCUCAGUCCGGCAACGAGCCCUACCAUUCUCGUCAGCAGUCAUCAAGUGAAGGGGGGCACUCCGCGGAGACUACCAGGGACAACGCGGAGGAAGGCGGGGACGAGGCCAAAUCCUCAUGCCCAGCAGGAUAAGGGCUACACACGUCCUACAAGGGUGUAACCAAAGGGAAGCGAUCACGUGCGGGGGAGCAAAUCUCAAAAAUAACGUGUCAGUUCGGAGUGUAGUAUGCAACUCGAAAACACGAAGCUGCAAUCGUUAGUAAUCACAGGUCAGCAUAAGGCGGUGAACACGUUCCCGGCUCUAGCACACACCGCCCGUCA